Long non-coding RNA from Arvicola amphibius (Eurasian water vole), 2343 nucleotides. RefSeq lists it as uncharacterized. The record is from RefSeq and is a predicted model, not a curated record. Lineage: Eukaryota; Metazoa; Chordata; Mammalia; Rodentia; Cricetidae. The transcript has 2 exons.
GUGUGUGUGUAUGUGUGUGUGUGUGUCUCCAAAUGAGUCUCAGUAGGGUUGUUUAUAGGAACAUGGACAUCCUACCAGUGAAGAACAUAUCCUAGUGUGUAAAUCCUCAAGAGAGGGGUGUGGCCAGGAGCUUCCCUGUCCCAUGACUGAGUACUGCAGGCCCAGUCAUGUGUAAGAAAUCACAACUGCGUGUCUUCAAGAGUGCAACAGCAACACCAUGCCCCAGAAGUCAGUGUUUUCUGCUUUGCCGUUUAUUUAUUUAUAGACUGUAUUUUAUAGUGUAACGCAGGCUGGUCUCAAACCUCAGACUUGUGGCAGUCAGUCCUCUGACUUCAGCCUCCAAGUUGCUGAGAUUACAGGCAUGUGCCCUGGUGCCCUGAUGCCCCUCUUAAGACUGAUUUUAAUCUGUAUGAGUGUCUUGCCUAUAUGCAUCUAUACACACCACAUGUGUGAGUAUCUUCAAAGGCCAGCAGAGGGUGUCAGAGGCCCUGGAACUGGACGAAUGGUUGUGAGCUGUGGGCUCUGAGAACUGAACCCAGGUCCUCUGCAAGAGCAAUAAAAUCUUAUAAAGUUGAUCCAGCAUCUCCAGGGCUGGGCAGGGAGAAUGAGAGCACAGCCAAUGUGUUGCUGUCCUGGAACUUUACUUUGUAGACCAGGCUGGCCUUGAACUCACAGAGAUCCACCUGCUCUGCCUCCGGAGUGUUGGGUUAAAGGCUUUGUGCCACUACCUGGUCUGUGUUGGUUUUUGUUGCUUGUUGGUUGGUCUGUUGUUUGAUGACAACAUUCUAGAUUGCCAAUCAUGAUUACACAACACUAGGACUAAUAGGGACCCUGGAAUUGCAUGCACACUUUGCACUGUUGGGUGUAUAACAGAAUGGUCACAUACACACGAGCGUAUAAACACAUUUAUAUUCACACAUGCACCCAAAUACUCAUACACAUUAACGUUCUGUCACGCAUACCACACACACACUUUCACACACACUAUCGGGUUCUCCGCGCCUCUCGGUUGAGGGCUGGAGAAUCCUGCUCCUUCUGAUAUGUGAUCCUCAGCAUCCACCCAUCAUGACUUGGCUGAGGUGGAGGCAGAGUCAGCAGCCAGUAAGGUGGAACAGGAGCAUAAGGGGUAGCCCCCUCCGAGAACACUACUGAUCAAGUGGUUUUCAACAUCUAGUAUGUGAGAUCACUCAAGUUUGAGAGGCUGUCACAGGGGCCAGGGGAACAUUCCAGAGGAACAAGUAACGGAGACCGUGCUUUUCUCUCUCAAAUCCCUGCCUUGCUGGGUAGGGAUCAGAAAGGCAGGGUGACCUCGAGUGCCCUAAUGUCCAACCCCCUCCCAGCACAGGAUGGAGUCCGGCCCAUUUCUCUUGGAAACAGAUGGCUGGAGCAGGCAAAGAGGCCACACUUCAGAGAAUCCUACAAACGGGACUCGAAACCCGUGUGCUCUAGGAGUCUGGAAUGUUUCCUGCCUCGCCAGAGGAAAUGCCCUUCUGACUGCUCCACGGAGGUGCCGCUAACGUCCACGCGGCUGGAAGGCCUGCUCGCUAAGGACAGGCACACGAAAUGCAUGCAGGCUCACCCAGGCAGGGGGGAGGACACAGAGCUGUCACCAACAUUUAAAACAAUGACACUUGCUGCGGCGGGAGAGAUGGAAGAAGGCAAGACAGCCGAGAACGGAAAACACUAGAAGUGGAAAACUAAAGGAAUGAAACCGAGAACUCCAUGACGCAUUUAAUUACACACAGAAUACAAUAAAUAUACAAAGGUGAAGAAAAAGUCAGCAAAUGAGAAGGAUGGGAACGGUCCUUCUUUGAACCCAGGAACCCAGAUAAAUUUUCCUUCAUUUACAUCUUCCAGCGGGCUGUCACGGCAACUGUCUAACACGGGUGUUAAGCUAGACAGAGGUGAGGUGUGACCAGAAUACACUGGCCUUUCUCGAAACUGUUAACCUGUUCAGCAACGGUCAAACGACAGACUGGGCACCACUGGCUGGCACACUAACUAUCCUCAGCUGACUAUCUCAGGAUUUAGUGUGUCUUACAGGGUAGAGGUGGCUCCAGGGAACCCGGACAACAAAACAGCAGGUCCUGACGAAGCCAGGUGGAGUCAUGUCAAGCUGAGCAAAUAUUAUGGUCCUGGCUAAACUAAAAGGGUUACAAAACAAAACCAAGAGUCACAGAAUCUGGGAGAGGGACGUGCAUGCAUGCGUGCAUGUGUGUGUGUGUUGGGGUGGGGUUUGAUGGCGGUGGAAGUUGGAUAAAAGAGGGUGGAGAGAGUAACCAGAAUGCUUUAUAUACAUCUAUGAAAUUGUCAAAUAACAAUUAAAAAAAAAGCGGAAAGCAA